This 1141-nucleotide long non-coding RNA is filed under the name Heterocephalus glaber (naked mole-rat). RNAcentral's name for it is "lncRNA (ENSHGLG00100050930.1)". The record is from RNAcentral. Lineage: Eukaryota; Metazoa; Chordata; Mammalia; Rodentia; Bathyergidae.
CCAAAGGGAGGGGCAGGGGAGCCCACAGCAGAGAGCUGGGGGCUGCCUGCGCCGGCUCGCAGUCCCUGCACGCCCUAUCUGGGACCUGGGAUCACUCUGUAAGCAACUUGGAGUCAGACAGGAGGAGAUCACCGAGGAGAGACCUGGCCCCUCAGACCCGCACUGUCUGCUGGGCUGGCCAGCACAGAGCCAGGCCCGGGCCAGCCCCUCCUGGCAACUCUGCUCCUCCCAAAGGAUGCUUUGGGAGUGAGGCGAGGCUGGCCACUGCUCCCCGUGCAGCAGCCUCUGGUCCUCCUGAGUCUCUGGGAGCCUGGGACAGUCCUGCCUGCCCUUCUGCCCAGCUGUUGCCUGUGCUGGGCCCAGCAGUCUUUCUGAUAAGGAGGAAAGGGCAGGAAGGAGGACUUCCUGGAGGGGGUGACAGCCCACAACCUGGGACCGUGUCCACAUCAGAAUCCAUCAGCAACAAGGCCAAUAUGCAGCUUCCAUGUGUGAUGCCAUCUCCGGGGCCUUCAAGGUAGUUGCUGUUGCUGCCACUGCUGUUGCUGCUGGGACCACAGAUCUCCCAAGGCCUGGUCAUCACGCCCCCUGGGCCAGAGCUGGUUCUCAAUCUCUCUAGCACCUUUGUUCUGACCUGCUCGGUUCGGCUCCAGUGGUGUGGGAACGAAUGUCCCAGGUACCCCCACAGGAAAUGGUCGUGACCCAGGAUGGCACCUUCACCAGCGUGCUGACACUGACCAAUGUCACUGGCGGAGACACAGGAGAAUACUUUUGCACCUACAACAGUUCUGUCGGAGCUGGAGCCCAGUGAGCAGAAGCGGCUGUACAUCUUUGUGCCAGACCCCCAGCUGGUGGUGACACUGCAUGAGAAGAAAGAAGACAUCCCUCUACCUAUUCCCUAUGACCACCAGCGAGGUUUCAUUGGUACCUUGGAGGACAAGACCUACAUCUGCAAAACCACCAUUGGGGGACAGGGAAGUGGAUUCUGAUGCCUACUAUGUCUACAGCCUCCAGGUGUCAUCCAUCAAUGUCUCUGUGAAUGCAGUACAGACUGUGGUCCGCCAGGGGUGAGAACAUCACUAUCAUGUGCAUUGUGACGGGGGAAUGAGGUGGUCAACUUUGAGUGGAUGUACCCCGAAAGGAG